GUAGGUGGCAAGCGUUGUCCGGAAUUAUUGGGCGUAAAGCGCGCGCAGGCGGUUCUUUAAGUCUGAUGUGAAAGCCCACGGCUCAACCGUGGAGGGUCAUUGGAAACUGGAGAACUUGAGUACAGAAGAGGAAAGCGGAAUUCCACGUGUAGCGGUGAAAUGCGUAGAGAUGUGGAGGAACACCAGUGGCGAAGGCGGCUUUCUGGUCUGUAACUGACGCUGAGGCGCGAAAGCGUGGGGGGAGCAAACAGGAUUAGAUACCCUGGUAGUCCACGCCGUAAACGAUGAGUGCUAAGUGUUAGGGGGUUUCUGCCCCCCCCUUAGUGCUGCAGCUAACGCAUUAAGCACUCCGCCUGGGAGUACGGCCGCAAGGCUG
This 376-nucleotide ribosomal RNA is filed under the name uncultured organism. Its description in RNAcentral is "partial 16S ribosomal RNA". It matches the Rfam family "Bacterial small subunit ribosomal RNA", at positions 527 to 896 of the family's 1533-position model. The record is from RNAcentral.